GAGAGAGAGAGAGAGAGAGAAAUGUGUGAUAGUGCUGUAAUUAUGUAGCAAUAUAAACCUUAAUGACAAGGUCAACUGUUAACACUAGCUCUCUCUAUAUCUCCCUGACUCCCUGUACCGUGUAAUUAAUGCGCAGCGAAGAGCAGCAGACGGCUCUUUCUUUCUAUUUCGCUCUCGCUUUUCUUCCAGCAUCAUUUUCAUCUAUUAAUUAGCCUCAAUUUUAAGCAAAAAAUACCUCCCCAACUAAUACCCAACAGCAAAAAAAUAAAUAUUAAAUUGAAAAAACAGAGACAUACCUUACACGUAGUACGAAAUUUUCCCGUUAGCCAAACAGCAAUACUCUCAAGAGAAAAUAAAUGUUAACAAAAAAUAAAAAAUAAAAAAGGGAAGGUUCUGGGCCAGCAUCGAUCCCGAGCAAAGCUCCAGCUUUUUCUUACUUUUGACUCAUCCCCAUUCAUCUUCUGAUAAAUACUAUACUAUUUAAAAAGAGAAAAAAAAAUACGAAAGCAUUGAACUGACAACUAUGUCCUGGGAGGUAGAAACCGAAAAAGAACUUGAAAGAAGAAAGAGAGAGAGAAAAUGAAAGUGGGGUUUUGUUUUUUCUGUUUGGUUUUGUUGUUGCCGGAGAAAGCGACGCCAGGGAGAUCGUGCAGAGGGAAAAAUGUUGUACUUGUACCUGCGAGCCCAAAGUGAACAAACUGCGCCGGUUAAGAUAAUGUUAUGCGCGUCGCUGAUGGUGCUUUGUGUCAGGUCGUUGAGUACUUGAUUUGAGCUGGCCGCCUCUAUUUUUUAAUUAUUAAAAAAAAAAAGAAAUAACAGUAUGAGGACCAUACCAGAGACCAAAGGAUGCGAGUUUCAUCCAUGCCGCUCAAUGCUGCCCAUCAUUUUCAAUUCAACAAAGGAACCAGCCUGUGAUUUUAU
Molecule: unclassified non-coding RNA, 921 nt
Filed under: Hevea brasiliensis (rubber tree)
Lineage: Eukaryota; Viridiplantae; Streptophyta; Magnoliopsida; Malpighiales; Euphorbiaceae
Source: RNAcentral